Brassica napus (rape) is the source of this 1723-nucleotide long non-coding RNA. RefSeq lists it as uncharacterized. NCBI's taxonomy places the organism in Eukaryota, Viridiplantae, Streptophyta, Magnoliopsida, Brassicales, Brassicaceae. The transcript has 3 exons. The record is from RefSeq and is a predicted model, not a curated record.
UAAUUUGGGGACAAGAAGAGACCAUAGUUGAGGCCACGUGUUGGUAAAAUGAGAGGAGAGAGGAGGAGCGUGUGUUUCUUUCGGUUCGCUUUGGUUCGCAAUUCUCUCUCUCUCAAAGACAAGGAAAUCAACGGUGGCUUCUGAGCGAGCCUGGAGCUCCGGAGCAAAUCGUCUCCCACCACCACAAAGAUCCAGAAACGCGAUCCCCUUUCUCCUCCAAACCUCGCCGUCGUUCGCGAUUCUCCUGGAUUCAGAAACAAACACGGAGAGCAUACACAGGUCCGGUGAUCGGUUCGAUCCUGAUAGACAAUGUUGAAGAUUAUGUGUUUGUGAUGGCGUCGCAUCAGAUUAGAAUCCAUCGUGCCAAGAAGAGUGAUUUCUAUUGAGAGUGAGGAGUCGUCCGAUCAUUGAAGAUAGUAAUCUGAGCGAGCCUGAAGACGAGGGUGGAUGUUGUAGCUUGCCGCAAUGAGAGGAAUGAGCUACACUCCGUCACCACCAAGGGGUUAUGGGAGGAGGGGUCGAACAAGCCCAAGCCCUAGAGGAGGCCGUGAUGGAGGUCGUAGUGCGGACCUUCCGACCAGUUUUUUGGUUCGCAAUCUACGCCAUGACUGCAGGUAUAUGUGGAUUAGUUUUUUGAAUUUAUCACCUGUUUAGACUUGUACUUUUUAGUCGCUUAAAGAGAAGGAUCAAGGAUGCAAUGUUGCUUGAUAUGUUUCAUGUGUGUGUUAAUUGAAGUUGUUGAGGUUUAGCAGUGAAUCUAAAGAAUUGAAGACAUGAAUUAGAGUUUUUAUGAAAAUGUUGUGUAUGGUAGUGAAAGAGUUUUGAAGUGAAGUUGAGUUUAAUAAAAAAAUGUUUAAUAAUUUUUUUUUAAGAACUCUAAAUUAAGAGACUUGCAUUGGAGCAUAUAAAUGUUAGAGUCUCUUAAUGUUGUUUCUUAACUCACAUUUACUACUUAAAAGUAUUAAAAAAAAAAUAAGAGCCUCUAAAUGGAUCUUUGGGAUAAUGAUGCGUAAGAGUUCAUCUCUCUCUCUCUCUCUCUCUCUCUCCUCCAUUAGUGUUCAUCUCAUCUCUUACUGUAAGUUCUUCUACUACUAUUCUCUUCCUUCUGUAAUUGCUUUGUGUUUUUGAAGAAGAGCUUGGACUUUGUGUGUUUCAGCAGAUUUAAAGAACUGAUUUUCAAGCAAAAAUCAGUGAAUGGCGUGAUUCCUUUGUUUCUGAGCACAAUUAGCAUGUGACUGUAUUAUCUCAGCCCAUAGAUCUCAUUACUUCGGGACACAUUUGAAUAUCUACUUGGAAACGCCAAGACUAAAUAGAAAGGCUAACUUAAAUUUGGAUAUCUUGAGUUAUUGGAAAGAGGACCAACAUCUAUUUGGGGAUUUAGUAUCUAUGGCACUAGACAUACUCAACAUUCGGAUCACCAGAGUCUACUAUCACCUUCCUCUCUCUUCACUAGUCUUCAUCGUCCAGCUGUGAAGAGCGCACCACCGUCUCCGGCAACAUCUCAAACCGGAGAUCUUCGGUACCCCACUAAGGAUUGGUGGAAUUUGAGAGGAACGAUAUUACCUCCACAAGCUUGGUAGAUUCCAACAAGAAGAGAGCCACCAUGAAAUCCAAUCAAACGUUUGGAAAUUUAUUAUCUUCAAACUCGAAUUUGAGAAAGAACUAUGACGAUAACAACCGCUCCAGUUUGAGUUGAAGAAGUACAACAAAAUCCCAAAUAAAA